This 253-nucleotide ribosomal RNA is filed under the name uncultured bacterium. RNAcentral's name for it is "partial 16S ribosomal RNA". It matches the Rfam family "Bacterial small subunit ribosomal RNA", at positions 524 to 776 of the family's 1533-position model. The record is from RNAcentral.
GACGUAGGAUGCAAGCGUUGUCCGGAAUUAUUGGGCGUAAAGAGUUCGUAGGCGGUUACCUAAGUCUGGUGUUAAAGCCCGAAGCUCAACUUCGGCAUGGCAUUGGAAACUGGGUGGCUAGAGUGUGGUAGAGGUAUCGGGAAUUCCUGGUGUAGCGGUGAAAUGCGUAGAUAUCAGGAGGAACACCGGUGGCGAAAGCGCGAUACUGGGCCAUAACUGACGCUGAGGAACGAAAGCUAGGGGAGCGAAAGGG